CAGCAGUAGGGAAUCUUCGGCAAUGGGGGCAACCCUGACCGAGCAACGCCGCGUGAGUGAAGAAGGUUUUCGGAUCGUAAAGCUCUGUUGUAAGAGAAGAACGUUGAUGAGAGUGGAAAAUUCAUCAAGUGACGGUAUCUUACCAGAAAGGGACGGCUAACUACGUGCCAGCAGCCGCGGUAAUACGUAGGUCCCGAGCGUUGUCCGGAUUUAUUGGGCGUAAAGCGAGCGCAGGCGGUUUCGUAAGUCUGAAGUUAAAGGCAGUGGCUCAACCAUUGUUCGCUUUGGAAACUGCGAGACUUGAGUGCAGAAGGGGAGAGUGGAAUUCCAUGUGUAGCGGUG
This 342-nucleotide ribosomal RNA is filed under the name uncultured Streptococcus sp. Its description in RNAcentral is "bacterial SSU rRNA". It matches the Rfam family "Bacterial small subunit ribosomal RNA", at positions 349 to 683 of the family's 1533-position model. The record is from RNAcentral. Lineage: Bacteria; Bacillati; Bacillota; Bacilli; Lactobacillales; Streptococcaceae.